GAAGUACUCCCAGCUGCCCACAGUCAUCCUUCUCCAUCCCACUGACCUUCCACCCGUGACCAAUCAGGAGAUGUUUCCAGUUUAUUGGUGAAUUUAUUAGGGCUCAGAGAGGAUGACCUAUCCAAGGUCCCACUGCCAACUGAAUGUAGGACAAGUCUCUGAACCCAGUGUGCCCCUGCCAGAAAGUAGCAGGGAUCACAGAAGUCCAGCAGAGGUCUGCCGCCUUGGACCCCGCCUCUUACACAUUGAGUGUGGUUUCUGCAGUGAUGAUAGAUCCUCCGAAUGAGGAACAAUGUAUUCUUCUUUUCUCCUAAUUCUCCUAAAAAAUCCACUUGGGAGAUACCUGCUGCAAAACUUAAAGGCAACCAUAUUCUGUACUUAGAUGAAGUGUUUGUCAAGCUCCCUGGAAAAGAGAAUCAAAGGACCCUGACUUGUUUACUCUGCCUUCUGGAAGAAAAAAGUGAUGAGAGAGAGUGGCAAUCUCACACCAUGCUGAAAAGCGCCCCCCAACUAACUCAGAUCCAUGCGUCCCUUUGGGCCCUGAGGAAUAAUACUGCUGGUUUAAUUCAAGAUAUAAAACCAAUAAAAAUGGUUUACCUAAA
RNAcentral lists this long non-coding RNA (602 nucleotides) under Homo sapiens (human). Its description in RNAcentral is "uncharacterized LOC105371574, transcript variant 1 (LOC105371574)". Lineage: Eukaryota; Metazoa; Chordata; Mammalia; Primates; Hominidae. The record is from RNAcentral.